CUUUGAAUUAACCUAUAUAAAGUAAAUAGAUGCAAAACAAUUCAUUAACAUUCCUUGAGUAAACAUGAUUUCAUCAAAUAAGGAUAAUGUGUUCUUGGAGACUGCUGAAUUUGCAUGUUUCUAAUGCUUUGAAUGAACAUGAUUAAGUUGUGUCUGGGGUGGCCUCCAGUCCUGAGGUGGCGCUAGUGCACCACUUUCUAAGACAAGAAGAAGCCGGAAAGUUUCUAAGCCAGAGAGCCGUUCCCCUCAUUCAGCUCGGUCCUACUCUUCAGUCUCAUCUCGCUGGAAUAGUGUUGUCAUGUGUGAAGAUCUACACGAAAUUGAGACUUCUGGCACAGUGGCCUGCACUGUUCGAAGUCUGUAAGAUCAGUGCUGAAUUCAAAAUAAUCACCACAGUUCCCCUGCAAUCCAAGCAACUGUUGCUGAAUUGGCUGAUUUGUACAAGAUGCACCAUUUCUGAGGACUUCUGGCACAGUGGCCUGCACUGUUCAAAGUUUGCAAGGUAAG
Molecule: long non-coding RNA, 507 nt
Organism: Engraulis encrasicolus (European anchovy)
Lineage: Eukaryota; Metazoa; Chordata; Actinopteri; Clupeiformes; Engraulidae
Exons: 4
Source: RefSeq, a predicted model, not a curated record